CGAACGGGUGAGUAGCGCGUGAGGAACCUGCCUCAAAGAGGGGGACAACAGUUGGAAACGACUGCUAAUACCGUAUAAGCCCACGGCUCGGCAUCGAGCAGAGGGAAAAGGAGCGAUCCGCUUUGAGAUGGCCUCGCAUCCGAUUAGCUAGUUGGUGAGGUAACGGCCCACCAAGGCGACGAUCGGUAGCCGGACUGAGAGGUUGAACGGCCACAUUGGGACUGGGACACGGCCCAG
This 237-nucleotide ribosomal RNA is filed under the name uncultured bacterium. RNAcentral describes it as "partial 16S ribosomal RNA". It matches the Rfam family "Bacterial small subunit ribosomal RNA", at positions 99 to 334 of the family's 1533-position model. The record is from RNAcentral.